This 1365-nucleotide ribosomal RNA is filed under the name uncultured bacterium. RNAcentral's name for it is "bacterial SSU rRNA". It matches the Rfam family "Bacterial small subunit ribosomal RNA", at positions 28 to 1395 of the family's 1533-position model. The record is from RNAcentral.
AUUGAACGCUGGCGGCAGGCCUAACACAUGCAAGUCGAGCGAACCUAGCUUGCUAGGUGAGCGGCGAACGGGUGAGUAACGCGUAGGAAUCUGCCUGGUAGUGGGGGACAACGUUCCGAAAGGAACGCUAAUACCGCAUACGCCCUACGGGGGAAAGCAGGGGAUCUUCGGACCUUGCGCUAUCAGAUGAGCCUGCGUCGGAUUAGCUAGUUGGUGGGGUAAAGGCCUACCAAGGCGACGAUCCGUAACUGGUCUGAGAGGAUGAUCAGUCACACCGGAACUGAGACACGGUCCGGACUCCUACGGGAGGCAGCAGUGGGGAAUAUUGGACAAUGGGGGCAACCCUGAUCCAGCCAUGCCGCGUGUGUGAAGAAGGCCUUCGGGUUGUAAAGCACUUUAGGUCGGGAGGAAGGUUCGCUGGCUAAUAUCCAGCGGAAUUGACGUUACCGACAGAAUAAGCACCGGCUAACUCCGUGCCAGCAGCCGCGGUAAUACGGAGGGUGCGAGCGUUAAUCGGAAUUACUGGGCGUAAAGCGCGCGUAGGCGGCUUGAUAAAUCGGGUGUGAAAUCCCUGGGCUUAACCUGGGAACUGCAUCCGACACUGUCAGGCUAGAGUGUGGGAGAGGGUGACGGAAUUCCCGGUGUAGCGGUGAAAUGCGUAGAUAUCGGGAGGAACAUCAGUGGCGAAGGCGGUUGCCUGGCCCAACACUGACGCUGAGGUGCGAAAGCGUGGGUAGCAAACAGGAUUAGAUACCCUGGUAGUCCACGCCGUAAACGAUGUCGACUAGCCGUUGGGAACCUUAGAGUUUCUUGUGGCGCAGCUAACGCGAUAAGUCGACCGCCUGGGGAGUACGGCCGCAAGGUUAAAACUCAAAUGAAUUGACGGGGGCCCGCACAAGCGGUGGAGCAUGUGGUUUAAUUCGAUGCAACGCGAAGAACCUUACCACCCCUUGACAUCCUGCGAACUUUCUAGAGAUAGAUUGGUGCCUUCGGGAGCGCAGAGACAGGUGCUGCAUGGCUGUCGUCAGCUCGUGUUGUGAAAUGUUGGGUUAAGUCCCGUAACGAGCGCAACCCUUGUCCUUAGUUGCCAGCGAGUAAUGUCGGGAACUCUAAGGAGACUGCCGGUGACAAACCGGAGGAAGGUGGGGACGACGUCAAGUCAUCAUGGCCCUUACGGGGUGGGCUACACACGUGCUACAAUGGCCGGUACAGACGGUUGCAAACCCGCGAGGGGGAGCCAAUCCGAGAAAACCGGUCGUAGUCCGGAUUGCAGUCUGCAACUCGACUGCAUGAAGUCGGAAUCGCUAGUAAUCGCGGAUCAGAAUGCCGCGGUGAAUACGUUCCCGGGCCUUGUACACACCGCCC